GACGAACGCUGGCGGCGUGCUUAACACAUGCAAGUCGAACGGAAAGGCCCUGCUUUUGUGGGGUGCUCGAGUGGCGAACGGGUGAGUAACACGUGAGUAACCUGCCCUUGACUUUGGGAUAACUUCAGGAAACUGGGGCUAAUACCGGAUAGGAGCUCCUGCUGCAUGGUGGGGGUUGGAAAGUUUCGGCGGUUGGGGAUGGACUCGCGGCUUAUCAGCUUGUUGGUGGGGUAGUGGCUUACCAAGGCUUUGACGGGUAGCCGGCCUGAGAGGGUGACCGGCCACAUUGGGACUGCGAUCCGGCCCAGACUCCUACGGGAGGCAGCAGUGGGGAAUAUUGCACAAUGGGCGGAAGCCUGAUGCAGCAACGCCGCGUGCGGGAUGACGGCCUUCGGGUUGUAAACCGCUUUCGCCUGUGACGAAGCGUGAGUGACGGUAAUGGGUAAAGAAGCACCGGCUAACUACGUG
This 468-nucleotide ribosomal RNA is filed under the name uncultured bacterium. Its description in RNAcentral is "partial 16S ribosomal RNA". It matches the Rfam family "Bacterial small subunit ribosomal RNA", at positions 28 to 507 of the family's 1533-position model. The record is from RNAcentral.